UUCCGAAAUAGCUCAGUGGUAGAGCAAUCGGCUGUUAACCGAUCGGUCGUAGGUUCGAGUCCUACUUUCGGAGU
Molecule: transfer RNA, 74 nt
Filed under: Sporosarcina luteola
Lineage: Bacteria; Bacillati; Bacillota; Bacilli; Caryophanales; Caryophanaceae
Description: tRNA-Asn
Rfam family: tRNA
About the family: Transfer RNA (tRNA) molecules are approximately 80 nucleotides in length. Their secondary structure includes four short double-helical elements and three loops (D, anti-codon, and T loops).
Source: RNAcentral